RNAcentral lists this transfer RNA (71 nucleotides) under Loxodonta africana (African savanna elephant). It matches the Rfam family "tRNA". From Rfam's summary of the family: Transfer RNA (tRNA) molecules are approximately 80 nucleotides in length. Their secondary structure includes four short double-helical elements and three loops (D, anti-codon, and T loops). The record is from Rfam by way of RNAcentral. Lineage: Eukaryota; Metazoa; Chordata; Mammalia; Proboscidea; Elephantidae.
GCAUCAGUGGUUCAGUGACAGAAUACUCGUCUUUCAUGCAGGAGACCUGGGUUUGAUUCCUGGUGGAUACA